Procambarus clarkii (red swamp crayfish) is the source of this 688-nucleotide non-coding RNA. NCBI's taxonomy places the organism in Eukaryota, Metazoa, Arthropoda, Malacostraca, Decapoda, Cambaridae. The record is from RefSeq and is a predicted model, not a curated record.
AAUUAUAUUGUAUUUCACAGCCUUUCUGGCCAACUGGAUCUGGAUGUGCCCGAGGAUUUUUGAGCUGUUUUGAUGCUGCUUGGAUGAUCCGGUCAUUAUGUUCAGGAAAGAUGACUUCCUUGGAGGUGCUAGCAGAAAGAGAGAGCAUCUAUCGCCUUUUGGCACAAACAACUCCAGAAAAUCUUAGUAAAGAUCACUCUUCAUAUACACUGGAUCCAGCAACAAGAUAUCCCACAAUUAAUGUACGCGCAGUGCUACCCUUUCAAGUACGCUCCCUUUUGACACUGAUGACGCUGCCCACCUUGAGGAGGUUACCAAUCCUCACCUAGUCAAUUCUGACGAACUACCAAAGAAGAGGAAAAGAAGAGAUUCUUUUAUACAUCCUGAUACUUUGCUGGUGUGGUGCAAGAAGCAAGUUGCCCUCUAUGACUCUGUUCACGUAGACAAUAUGACCACCUCCUUUAAGGAUGGUCGGGCACUGUGUGCUAUUAUUCACCGCUACCGUCCGGACUUGAUUGACUUUGAAGCCUUGCAGCCAGAAGAUAUUGCUCAAAACAACCAGCUGGCAUAUGAUAUCCUGGAACGUGACUUCGGGAUCCCUCCUGUUAUGACGGGUGCUGAGAUGGCAGAAUGUGACGUGCCAGACAAGUUGAGCAUGAUAUCCUAUCUAUCUCAGAUCUAUGAUGUC